RNAcentral lists this transfer RNA (71 nucleotides) under Loxodonta africana (African savanna elephant). It matches the Rfam family "tRNA". From Rfam's summary of the family: Transfer RNA (tRNA) molecules are approximately 80 nucleotides in length. Their secondary structure includes four short double-helical elements and three loops (D, anti-codon, and T loops). Lineage: Eukaryota; Metazoa; Chordata; Mammalia; Proboscidea; Elephantidae. The record is from Rfam by way of RNAcentral.
GUGCUGGUGGCUCAGUGGUAGAAUCCUUACCUUCCAUGUGGGAGACCUGGAUUCCAAUCCCAGCCAAUGCA